AGUCUGGUUGGCAUCAUGCUAGCAUCUGGAACCUAGUGGCUGAAAAAAGUUAACAUAUAGAGCCAAACAAGUUGUUGACUAAUCAUGAACCUAAAGGCUGGAAUAGUUCAGAUGAAGAGUUGGGGGAGGGGGUCCUCUGUUUUGUAGAUAGUUAGUAGUCCUAUUUCAGUUAUAUUCCAAAAAGCCUAUGACUAUACUAGUUUUUUGUUUUUUUUCCUGAGCCUGACAUCUGAUAUGCAGCUGGAUCCAAGUUAUUGUCUGGGGAGAUGAUGUCAUGGCUGGAAAAAGGACCAGAAAGUUGGAUUAGGGAAGAGAGUAGCUCCCAAAUAUGGGAAAGCAAAUAGAAGACAAAAGCCUUGAAUCUGGGUCCUUGCUCUUAACUAGGAGAAACCAACAGCAAGUCCCUAUACCUGUCCUCGUUAGUAUAGUGAGAUUUUACCACAGGAGAGCCCUCUUACAUCUCUGCAAACCACCUUCCGGUCUUCCUGCCUGGGACAAGCUCCAUGAUGCCACCUGCUAGAUAUAAAGGUGCAGAAAAAAGUAAAAGCUUUGCAUUGGCCGGGAAUCGAACCCGGGCCUCCCGCGUGGCAGGCGAGAAUUCUACCACUGAACCACCAAUGCAGAACUGCAUGCCUCGCCAGCGCCUGCAUUGUUGUCAGUGUGCUUCCGCCCCUCCCGUAGUCUUCGCUCUGUAACUCCGGGAACAUAGGGAUGGGGGUCUGUCGCGGACCUGACUUCCCCAACCUUCGUCACCCCCAAACGUCCCUUGUUUCUGGAAUGACUAAACUGCGUGGACACCGCAGGGUGGAAUUGGAGGGACACGAGGGGCAGGAAUGGGGAAGCUGGGAGAGUGAGGGGGCCAGAAGAUGGGGAGGGGACGGCUGGGUGAUCAGAGGGAAGAGUGGGGUGCUGCUGGGCAGGAGGGCGCUAGUUGUGUGGUCCAGGAUUCGUGGAAUCGGGGUUUGGAGCUUGGGGGUGACAGGGUGGGAGGCAUUGGGGGGGCUGCCGGAAGGGCUUGGG
Molecule: long non-coding RNA, 1020 nt
Organism: Erinaceus europaeus (western European hedgehog)
Lineage: Eukaryota; Metazoa; Chordata; Mammalia; Eulipotyphla; Erinaceidae
Exons: 3
Source: RefSeq, a predicted model, not a curated record